GGGGUCGUGGCACAGUGGUUAGCGCGCUUGCUUUGCAUGCAAGAGGUCGAGGGUUCAAAUCCCUCCGUCUCCA
Flagelloscypha sp. PMI_526 is the source of this 73-nucleotide non-coding RNA. Lineage: Eukaryota; Fungi; Basidiomycota; Agaricomycetes; Agaricales; Niaceae. The record is from the annotation of a GenBank genome assembly.